Molecule: ribosomal RNA, 2079 nt
Filed under: Triticum aestivum (bread wheat)
Lineage: Eukaryota; Viridiplantae; Streptophyta; Magnoliopsida; Poales; Poaceae
Description: partial small subunit ribosomal RNA
Source: RNAcentral
AUGGCGUCCGCCGCGACGGCGCCGGCGGCGGGGAAGCGGCCGGCGACGGGCGGGCGGGAGGGCGACCAGAUGGUGAUCACCCCACUCGGCGCCGGCAGCGAGGUAGGCCGCUCCUGCGUCCACAUGACUUUCAAGGGCCGCACAGUCCUAUUCGACUGCGGCAUCCACCCGGCAUACUCCGGCAUGGCGGCUCUCCCAUAUUUCGACGAGAUCGACCCCUCCGCCAUCGACGUCCUGCUCGUCACCCACUUCCACCUGGACCACGCCGCCUCGCUGCCAUACUUCCUGGAGAAGACGACGUUCAAGGGCCGCGUGUUCAUGACCCACGCCACCAAGGCCAUCUACAGGCUGCUGCUCUCCGAUUAUGUAAAGGUCAGCAAGGUGUCUGUGGAAGACAUGCUGUUCGACGAACAGGACAUCAUCCGCUCCAUGGACAAAAUCGAGGUCAUAGACUUCCACCAGACAUUGGAAGUUAACGGCAUACGCUUCUGGUGCUAUACUGCUGGGCAUGUACUUGGCGCUGCCAUGUUCAUGGUGGAUAUUGCUGGUGUUCGCAUUCUUUACACUGGCGACUACUCCCGUGAAGAAGACCGUCACCUCAAAGCUGCUGAGAUACCCCAGUUCUCCCCUGAUAUUUGCAUUAUCGAGUCAACUUACGGUGUGCAGCAACACCAACCCCGCCAUGUCAGAGAGAAGCGCUUCACUGAUGCCAUCCACAACACAGUUUCUCAAGGGGGCCGUGUUCUUAUCCCAGCAUUUGCUCUUGGUAGAGCACAGGAACUGUUGCUUAUCCUGGAUGAGUAUUGGUCUAACCACCCAGAGCUCCAUAAGAUUCCAAUCUAUUAUGCCUCCCCUCUUGCGAAGAAGUGUAUGGCUGUCUACCAGACAUACAUAAACUCCAUGAAUGAAAGGAUAAGGAAUCAGUUUGCACAGUCCAAUCCGUUCCAUUUCAAGCAUAUUGACCCUUUGAAUAGCAUUGACAACUUCCAUGAUGUGGGUCCGUCAGUGGUGAUGGCAAGUCCAGGUAGCCUCCAAAGUGGUCUCUCCAGGCAGCUCUUUGACAAGUGGUGCACAGAUAAGAAGAACACAUGUGUUAUUCCAGGUUAUGCUGUGGAAGGCUCGCUUGCAAAGACCAUCAUCAACGAACCGAGAGAAGUGACACUAGCAAAUGGGCUCACUGCUCCUCUUAAUAUGCAGAUCUUCUACAUCUCCUUCUCAGCUCACGCUGAUUUUCCACAGACGAGUGGCUUCUUGGAAGAGCUUCGCCCACCAAACAUUAUUCUUGUCCAUGGAGAAGCAAAUGAGAUGGGUAGGCUUAAGCAGAAACUUAUCACCCAGUUUGAUGGGACAAACACAAAAAUUGUUUCUCCCAAGAACUGCCAAUCGGUCGAGAUGUAUUUUAGUUCUGAGAAAAUGGCCAAGACAAUUGGCAGACUGGCAGAGAAGGUACCAGAAGUGGGAGAUACAGUUAGUGGCUUGCUUGUAAAGAAGGGCUUCACGUAUCAGAUUAUGGCCCCUGAGGACCUCCGCGUGUACACCCAACUGUCUACUGCCAACAUUACUCAGAGGAUUGCUGUCCCGUAUUCUGGUUCUUUUGAGGUGGUCAAGUACAGACUGAAGCAAAUAUACGAGAGCGUGGAAUCAUCAACCGAAGAAGAUGUUCCAGUACUGACUGUUCACGAGAGAGUGGCCAUCCGCCUGGAUUCAGAGAGCUACGUGACGCUGCAGUGGUCGUCCGAUCCCAUAAGCGACAUGGUGUCCGACUCGGUGGUGGCCAUGAUCUUGAACAUUGGCCGUGAGGGUCCGAAGGUUGUUCCGAUCGAAGAAGCGGUGAAGACGGAAGAAGAAACAGAGAAGGUGGCGCGGAAGGUGGUGUACUCUCUGAUGGUAUCACUCUUCGGCGACGUUAAAGUUGCAGAGGAAGGGAAGCUUGUCAUAACUGUGGAUGGAGACGUCGCGCACUUGGAUGGCAGGAGCGGUGAUGUGGAGUGCGAGAAUGCUGGGCUGAAAGAGAGGAUCAAGACCGCGUUCCGGCGCAUACAGGGUGCGGUGAGACCGAUCCCGCUUUCGGCCUCCUGA